CCCUUAGAUGUUCUGGGCCGCACGCGCGCUACACUGAUCGAUUCAACGAGUUUUAUAAUAUUUUUGUUAAAAAUUUAUAUAUCCUUUGUCGGAAGGCAUGGGUAAUCUUUUAAAUGUCGAUCGUGAUGGGGCUAGAUUCUUGCAAUUAUUAAUCUCCAACGAGGAAUUCCUAGUAAACGCAAGUCAUCAGCUUGCAUUGAUUACGUCCCUGCCCUUUGUACACACCGCCCGUCGCUCCUACCGAUCGAAGAGUUAGGUGAAUUGUUUUGAUCGAUAAGAUUUGACUAUGGUCAACUCUCGUUGUGAAAUUCUGUGAAUCUGACUGUUUAGAGGAAGGAAAAGUCGUAACA
RNAcentral lists this ribosomal RNA (350 nucleotides) under uncultured eukaryote. RNAcentral describes it as "partial 18S ribosomal RNA". It matches the Rfam family "Eukaryotic small subunit ribosomal RNA", at positions 1470 to 1796 of the family's 1831-position model. The record is from RNAcentral.